Molecule: long non-coding RNA, 523 nt
Filed under: Panax ginseng (ginseng)
Lineage: Eukaryota; Viridiplantae; Streptophyta; Magnoliopsida; Apiales; Araliaceae
Description: long non-coding RNA (PGIN_LNC010624)
Source: RNAcentral
UACUUUCCCCGGUUCCGUUGCUACCGCGGGCUUUACGCAAUCGAUCGGAUUAUAUAGAUAUCCCUUCAACACAACAUAGGUCAUCGAAAGGAUCUCGGAGACCCACCAAAGCACGAAAGCCGGGAUCUUUCAGAAAAAGGAUUCCUAUUCAAAGAGUGCAUAACCGCAUGGAUAAGCUCACACUAACCCGUCAAUUUGGGAUCCAAUUCGAGAUUGCGACGUUGGCUUGAACUAUUGAAAGAUUAUGAUCAUACCAUCCAAUACCAUCCUAGAAAAGGUUCUUUAUUGAUUGUACCUAUGGGAUAUAGGAAGAGGAAAAAUCGAAGAUUUCACAUUGUAUUUUUGAUCGAAAAAUCAAUCUGAUUUAUUUCGUACCCUUCGCUCAAUGAGAAAAUGGGUCAAAUUCUAAAGGAUCAAACCUAUGGGACUUAAGGAAUGAUAUAAAAAAAGAGAGGGAAAAAUAUUCAAUAAAAAGAAAUAAAAAGAAAAUAAGUAAACUAAGUAAAUAUAGAAGAACCCAGAU